GACGAACGCUGGCGGCGUGCUUAACACAUGCAAGUCGAACGGAAAGGCCCCUUCGGGGGUACUCGCGUGGCGAACAGGUGGGUAACACGUGAGUAACCUGCCCUUGACUUCGGGAUAACUUCAGGAAACUGGGUCUAAUACCUGAUAGGAAUCCUUGCUGCAUGGUUGGGGUUGGAAAGCUUCGGGGGGUUUGGGUGGACUUGCGGCCUAUCAGCUUGGUUGUGGGGUAGGGGCUUACCAAGGCUUUGACGGGUAGCCGGCCUGAGAGGGCGAACGGCCAAAAUGGGGCUGGGAAACGGCCCAGACUCCUACGGGGGGCAGGAGUGGGGAAUAAUGCACAAAGGGCGGGAGCCUGAUGCAGCAACGCCGCGGGCGGGAUGACGGGCUUCGGGUUGGAAACCGCUUUCAGCAGGGGCGAAGCUGGUGGUGACGGUACCUGCAGAAGAAGCACCGGCUAACUACGUG
RNAcentral lists this ribosomal RNA (465 nucleotides) under uncultured bacterium. RNAcentral describes it as "partial 16S ribosomal RNA". It matches the Rfam family "Bacterial small subunit ribosomal RNA", at positions 28 to 507 of the family's 1533-position model. The record is from RNAcentral.